This is a long non-coding RNA of Brachypodium distachyon (stiff brome), 2539 nucleotides long. RefSeq lists it as uncharacterized. The record is from RefSeq and is a predicted model, not a curated record. The transcript is spliced from 3 exons. NCBI's taxonomy places the organism in Eukaryota, Viridiplantae, Streptophyta, Magnoliopsida, Poales, Poaceae.
CAGUCCUGCACCUCCGCAUCUCCUCCACCGCGCUGAUGCCGCCCACCUCUCCCCCAAACAGACAGCGUUGUCUUCUCCCCGAAGACGAUGCCGGCGCCCUCCACCGCGGCCGACGACGACGCGCUCCACCGCGGUCCGCUGUCGUCGCCCUCCCCCGCGGCUGCCGCUGCCCUCGCCCUCGCACUCCACCACGGACGCCGCAUCCGUCGCAGCGGCCGCCAUCCUGCCUACCGGGCUUGUGGAUCACUAGAUGCGUGGCAUCACUGACCAGACAAACCGGAGUUGCGGAGCACCAGAUGUGGGCGGGCACGGCUUCACGGGCGACGGCGUCACAAUGCAGUCAAGCUUUCUCCUCUCUCCUCGCCCCGAUUUGUCAGCAUGGGCACCAAACAACAGAGUUGCAACCUGUAGUUCCCGCCCUGCUCCUAGCGACCCGCCUCCCCGUGUUUAUCCGAAUCACAAAUAAGGUAGAUCCUCUCAUCACCGUCUUCGUUGAUUCGUAGUCACAUCAGCUGUCAGCCAAUCCAUGUGAACUGAGCCUUGGCUAAUAUUCCACAUGCUACACACAUUCUGAUUUGAAGCCCAAACAUGAAGAAGAUUAAUUUUAACUGUGCUGUAUGAUGUAUGCCGGACAUAUUAGCAAAAUUACUUUUUUUUUCUCAUGAAUCGUUAGUUUGCCACAAAUCCAUAAUAUAUGCAAGGCUAUUUUCUAGAAUUUGUUUGAUCUUUUUCCCCCUUAAAAUUUGUAGUUUGGCAUAAAUCCAUAUAUUGCAUGAUAUCGAGACUGUGAUUGUAAGAGAUGCAAAGCUAUUUAGGCGGUGCUAUGCCACCAUUUAUGUUGCCUUUAUUUUACGCUGAGGUUAUACUAUGAUUCUGUUUCCUGUUCAUGUAGUUCAAUUCAGAGUUUUAUUUCCCCCUUUCAUAAUGAAGGCAUUUCUUUACUGCUCUCAAGAACGUCCAUAUAAAAUGUAAUUUGUAUGCAUUUUUGUUUCAAAAUGUUAAAAGGUUUCAAUAAUGGUUUCUCGGUAACAGUCUUUAUGCACCAAUGACUUUUUUGUAAAUAAGAGUGGAAUUAACCAUGAACUUCAGUCUUCUAAAUGGAGGGUUGAGUAGUUAGUUUUUUGUGUUUCUUUUCCUCUUUGAAAAUUAGGUAGGAGUAUUUAAUCAUUUACCUGGAAUAGAUGGUGGUUUGAGUAUUUAGCUUUUGGUUGUUUUUAGUUUCCAGCUUAUCCUCUUUUAUCUUUAAAAAUAGGCAGUUUUUUCUGUCUUGGUGCCACCUUCUCUGGGCAUACUGCAAUGUAAAAUCUACUGAUACUUAUUUUCCAGAUGGUGCUUCGAUUCUGAUUAGCAAAUAAGGUGUUUCAUGAGUAUGUGUGCGAUGAUAAAAAUUGUCAUGUCCUUUAAUUUGGUCGGUGUCAACUAUUUCUAUUGUAUUGCUAUAACAGUUGCCUGCUUUUUUUGUUGGGGACAAGCAUGCUGACCCGCUGCCGAUGCGAAGCGGAAGCGAGGACAGUUCCUUUAAUUUCUGGUUGUUUUAUACUCACUAUGUAAUGUUUGUUUUUUCUGCUAUUUUAUGUAUAAUCUAGAGAUCAUGUAUGCCUCUUUGAUGGAUUUAAGUUAAGUCACCUGCUGGAGCAGCUUGAGGCUAGGCUGAUGAUACAGAAAACGAAGCAAACAAAUUUCAUCGAAUCAAGAACUAUCUUCAUGCCAAGUUAUCAGAGCAGUAAAGAAAUGCCAUUGAGAUGGGGCUAACAAUUUGGUACCAAUUGAAAUUACUCUGAAGUUUGCAAACAAGAUUAAGGCGAAUGAGAGUUUUUCUGCAUACAUAGUACUUCCUGUGUUGCCCGAGGAUAAGCCAACUGGUGCUCCUACACAAAGAAUUCUUUACUCGCAGGUUCGAUUGAGCAUCUCUGUUUGUGCCUAAUUUUCCCCGAUAGAGCACACCCAAUUUUUCACUUAUAUUGUAGAACAAAACAACACAAAUGAUCAAGACAAUAUAUAGGGCCUUGUUAGGUCUUUAUGAUAUAUAUGAGCCUCAUGAUUAUUUGAACUUUAUUUGUCUUGGCAAUAAUGAUGUUGAUGACAGCCCUAGCACAACCUGGUGCAAAUCUCGAUAUACAUGUAUUAUUGGAUCGAAGGGCAUCUCCAAAUAAAUGCUCAGUGUACAAAUAGAAAGCAAACUGAUAUGGUUGUGUACAUGUGUUCCAUACCCGAGACCACUACUUGUGAUAUUGCUGCAACAACUGUCAUUUUGUGUACCAAAAUUUCUGCUGAGCCUCAAUUGUAGAGGAUUUAUUGGUUCAUGAUUCAUCAUGUUCAGGUAAUGGAUGGACUCACAGUCCAUCGUUGUUGGUGUCAAAUAUGUAGCAUAUAUUUCACAUUACCUGAUCGUCAUUACCUCGGGGACAGUAAAUUGCUGUUGUUAUGUUCACAUGUCGAUUGUAUUAUUUGUUUUCCUCUCACGGUGCAACGAGUACUUAGAAUAUGUACAUGUACAUAAGAGUAAUGCCUUGUUAUCCGAUACAAUGACUACUCCGUA